GCACUGGUGGUUCAGUGGUAGAAUUUUCACCUUCCAUGCGGUAGACUAGGGUUCAAUUCCUGGCGACUGCA
RNAcentral lists this transfer RNA (71 nucleotides) under Loxodonta africana (African savanna elephant). It matches the Rfam family "tRNA". From Rfam's summary of the family: Transfer RNA (tRNA) molecules are approximately 80 nucleotides in length. Their secondary structure includes four short double-helical elements and three loops (D, anti-codon, and T loops). Further hydrogen bonds mediate the characteristic L-shaped molecular structure. tRNAs have two regions of fundamental functional importance: the anti-codon, which is responsible for specific mRNA codon recognition, and the 3' end, to which the tRNAs corresponding amino acid is attached (by aminoacyl-tRNA synthetases). tRNAs cope with the degeneracy of the genetic code in two manners: having more than one tRNA (with a specific anti-codon) for a particular amino acid; and 'wobble' base-pairing, i.e. permitting non-standard base-pairing at the 3rd anti-codon position. Lineage: Eukaryota; Metazoa; Chordata; Mammalia; Proboscidea; Elephantidae. The record is from Rfam by way of RNAcentral.